UACGUAAGAGACUAGUGUUAUUCAUCUUAAUUAGGUUUAAAGGGUACCUAGACGGUCAAUAUAGCUUCUAUAAUGUUAGUACUUGACUAGAGUUUUAUGUAAGAGGGCAGUACUUGAGGAGGAGAGAUGAAAUUCUAUGAUACCAAAGGGACUCGGUAAAGGCGAAGGCAGCCCUCUAUGUAGAAACUGACGUUAAAGGACGAAGGCACAGAGCACAAACAGG
This 223-nucleotide ribosomal RNA is filed under the name uncultured bacterium. RNAcentral's name for it is "partial 16S ribosomal RNA". It matches the Rfam family "Bacterial small subunit ribosomal RNA", at positions 524 to 776 of the family's 1533-position model. The record is from RNAcentral.